CGGCGGACGGGUGAGUAACACGUGGAUAACCUACCUAUAAGACUGGGAUAACUUCGGGAAACCGGAGCUAAUACCGGAUAAUAUUUUGAACCGCAUGGUUCAAAAGUAAAAGACGGUCUUGCUGUCACUUAUAGAUGGAUCCGCGCCGCAUUAGCUAGUUGGUAAGGUAACGGCUUACCAAGGCAACGAUGCGUAGCCGACCUGAGAGGGUGAUCGGCCACACUGGAACUGAGACACGGUCCAG
RNAcentral lists this ribosomal RNA (244 nucleotides) under uncultured Staphylococcus sp. RNAcentral describes it as "partial 16S ribosomal RNA". It matches the Rfam family "Bacterial small subunit ribosomal RNA", at positions 96 to 334 of the family's 1533-position model. The record is from RNAcentral. Lineage: Bacteria; Bacillati; Bacillota; Bacilli; Caryophanales; Staphylococcaceae.